CCGACCUUAGCUCAGUUGGUAGAGCGGAGGACUGUAGUGGGCACCCCUCAUGGUAAUCCUUAGGUCGCUGGUUCGAAUCCGGCAGGUCGGA
This 91-nucleotide transfer RNA is filed under the name Eucalyptus grandis. It matches the Rfam family "tRNA". Rfam says of the family: Transfer RNA (tRNA) molecules are approximately 80 nucleotides in length. Their secondary structure includes four short double-helical elements and three loops (D, anti-codon, and T loops). Lineage: Eukaryota; Viridiplantae; Streptophyta; Magnoliopsida; Myrtales; Myrtaceae. The record is from Rfam by way of RNAcentral.